RNAcentral lists this ribosomal RNA (262 nucleotides) under uncultured bacterium. RNAcentral's name for it is "partial 16S ribosomal RNA". It matches the Rfam family "Bacterial small subunit ribosomal RNA", at positions 335 to 590 of the family's 1533-position model. The record is from RNAcentral.
GAUCCUACGGGGGGCAGCAGUAGGGAAUCUUCCACAAUGGACGAAAGUCUGAUGGAGCAACGCCGCGUGAGUGAAGAAGGGUUCGGCUCGUAAAGCUCUGUUGGGAGUGAAGAAAGAUAGAGGGAGUAAAUGGCCUUUAUUUGACGGGAAUUACUUAGAAAGUCACGGCUAACUACGUGCCAGCAGCCGCGGGAAAAAGUAGGUGGCAAGCGUUGUCCGGAUUUAUUGGGCGUAAAGCGAGGGCAGGGGGGUCAAAAAAUAU